AUUUUUGGGCUCAAAUUUGGCCCAGCUUUUCUGUUUUUGGGCUCGGCCCAUCUUCUACUUGGUUUCUCCUCUAUUCCGUCUUUCCCACCCUUGAAACUAAACCCUAAUUCUUCACUUCACCGUCCGGAUUUGAAAUCGGCUACACUUCAGAAAUGAAGCUUGUUCACGUAGUCUUUCGAUCCGUUAAUACUAACAUAUUACAUAAAUCUUAUCGAUCCACCAUCACCAGAGCAAUAUCUACAAACCCUUAUUCAGCCAAUGAUGGUAACAACACAAGUGAGACUGCUGAUGAGUUUGAGCGCCGGAUAUUCGGUGGCGUAUCGGGGAACAGUUCAAGUUCAGAUUCUUUUUUCCGAAAGCUGGAUAAAAUGGAGAAGGGUUGGAAUAGGUCUGCUUGGUCAAGUAAUUUGAACGGAGGGAAUAGUUCAUCAUAUAUGGAUGGUUUGGAUGACAGUUUUGAUACUCUAUCCGAUGGAAUGGAUGGUAAGUUACAGAAAGCUGCAACGUAUUUUGAGUUCGAUCCGGAAGAAAUUGCGAAGGAUGAUUAUGCUUAUCGGCCGGAUGUCAGUUUUCAGCCUGGGAUGACUUAUACAAUUAAGCAAAUGAAUAUGGAACUGCAAAGGACCUGGUAGCAUAUGCAGAGCCAGAGAUAAAAGCAGGGCAUCUAAACCGGGUGCUAGAUAAGAGGGUGGUGGCGCGAGAUAUUAAUGAGAGGGUGGCGUUGGAGGUGGUGGCUGCCAUUGCCAUUCAAUGUGUCAACUUAGAAGGAAAGGAGAGGCCAAGUGUAACAGACAUUGUUGCUACUUUGGAGAGGGCACUGGUUCUUUGUGAGGAUACUAAUGCUGUUAGCUUCUCUACCACUACAUUCUCAUUCCCUUCUGAUCGAAUCCCAAAUUUCAUGCCAAGCAACUAAAUAAAUCAGCUGGUGUGGGAGACAUUGUGGAAGGGGAUUUGCACGGACUCGAAGAAAAUCAUUAUUCCAGGACCAGGGACUAGGGUGGUACGAUGGGGUGCAGACUUUGAACCGAUUCAAGCACUAAAAUUUUAGUGGAACAACCUGUCGUACAUAAUUAUACCAGCCAACUGGAUUCAACAUCAUUGGAUUUUUCAGCCAACACAACUCGGUCGGUCUAUGUAUGAAUGCGCAUUAAAGGCUCGUAAAUAAAGAACAAAAGCUCGUCAGGUUCUCUUGAUUACUAUUAAAACAAUGGAUAGCAGAUUCUUCUUCUAAAACACAGAAACAAAUUGGGUUCA
This is an RNA transcript of Mangifera indica (mango), 1254 nucleotides long. RefSeq lists it as uncharacterized. Lineage: Eukaryota; Viridiplantae; Streptophyta; Magnoliopsida; Sapindales; Anacardiaceae. The record is from RefSeq and is a predicted model, not a curated record. The transcript is spliced from 5 exons.